Molecule: long non-coding RNA, 928 nt
Filed under: Polistes dominula (European paper wasp)
Lineage: Eukaryota; Metazoa; Arthropoda; Insecta; Hymenoptera; Vespidae
Description: uncharacterized LOC107064779, transcript variant X2
Source: RNAcentral
UAUUCUAUUAAUAUAUAGAUAAAUUUACAUUCAAUUUUUAAUGAUUUCGAAUAUUUUUAAAAAUUAUUUCUGUCACUAUGUUUGUACCAUGGAGCCAGAUAACAGGAGAGCGAUCGACAUAGGAAAAUAACUAGCAAAUACGAAUGGAAAGAAAAGGAAAGAUUAUUUUCGGAAUUACGCCGCUAGGUUUCGUUAUGUUCGCUGAAGUCAGGUUUAUGACGUCAUAUUUUUCAUUGACAAUUGUUGACAAUACUGCAUUAUUAGCAAUUGCAUUAAUGUUUUUUUAAUUUAUAAAAAGUAAUAUUUAUUUCAAAAUGGUAAAGAAAUGUAUUGUUCAUGGGUGUAUAAGUGGACAAGUCAAGGAUCGUAAUAAGAAUGCUAAAUUAAAUCGGAGAAACACGUUUUUAUUCACUGUACCACAGAAUUCUAUCUUUAAAAAAUCCUACAUUUCUUUUAUCUUUCUACGUUUAUCUAUCUUCAAUCUAUUGCAAUUCACGUAAUAAUUUUCUUUUUUCAAAAGCACCCUGAUCUGGUAAAAUUAUGAAGUAGUGGAUUAAACCAGCAAUUAAUACCAAAAAAACAAUACACAAAGAAUGCAACUACGAAUAUUUAAUGACGUCUCACCUUAAUCAAGAUCAACUGGAAAAAUUUUUUGGUAUCAUGAGAAGUGUUUGUCGCUGUAAUAAUCAUCCAGACACCAUUCUAUUUGGACAGGUUUUCUGAUUACUCUGUUCAUAUUCGCUAGUCACCCCUUCAAAAGGGUCUAAUGUCACGGCUGGUGAGCUUCUUCAGUCAUUAAUGCAAACAAAGGAAUCUCUGAUUGCAUCGAAUUCGUUAAAAAAAAUUGGCUUAAUGACAUUGAUGCAAUUAUUGAAAAUGGUAUUGUGAAUCACGAAAACUCAUCCAGUGAAAAUAUUAAUGAAUUCGU